This is a non-coding RNA of Bos taurus (domestic cattle), 72 nucleotides long. NCBI's taxonomy places the organism in Eukaryota, Metazoa, Chordata, Mammalia, Artiodactyla, Bovidae. The record is from Rfam.
CCCUUGCUGUUCUGAUGGCUAGGAUUUCUGGUUUUCAUCCAGACUAUGCAGGUUCAAUUCCUGGGCAGGGAA